GCGGAGGAAAAGAAACCAACAGGGAUUGCCCCAGUAACGGCGAGUGAAGCGGCAAGAGCUCAAAUUUGAAAUCUGGCCCCCUCGGGGCCCGAGUUGUAAUUUGCAGAGGAUGCUUCGGGUUCGGCCUCGGUCUAAGUCCCCUGGAACGGGGCGUCAUGGAGGGUGAGAAUCCCGUCUGGGAUCGCCGGCCGGGCCCGUGUGAAGCUCCUUCGACGAGUCGAGUUGUUUGGGAAUGCAGCUCCAAAUGGGUGGUAAAUUUCAUCUAAAGCUAAAUACUGGUCGGAGACCGAUAGCGCACAAGUAGAGUGAUCGAAAGAUGAAAAGCACUUUGAAAAGAGAGUUAAACAGCAUGUGAAAUUGUUGAAAGGGAAGCGCUUGCGACCAGACUCGCCCGCGGGGGCUCAGCCGGCAUUCUUGCCGGUGCACUCCCCCGCGGUCGGGCCAGCGUCGGUUUGGGCGGUUGGUCAAAGGCCCCCGGAAUGUGUCGCCCCUCGGGGCGUCUUAUAGCCGGGGGUGCAAUGCGGCCUGCCUGGACCGAGGAACGCGCUUCGGCACGGACGCUGGCGUAAUGGUCGUAAGCGGCCCGUCUUGAAACACGGACCAAGGAGUCUAACAUCUACGCGAGUGUUCGGGUGUCAAACCCGUCCGCGCAGUGAAAGCGAACGGAGGUGGGAGCCCCUAAGGGUGCACCAUCGACCGAUCCUGAAGUCUUCGGAUGGAUUUGAGUAGGAGCGUAGCUGUUGGGACCCGAAAGAUGGUGAACUAUGCCUGAAUAGGGUGAAGCCAGAGGAAACUCUGGUGGAGGCUCGCAGCGGUUCUGACGUGCAAAUCGAUCGUCAAAUUUGGGUAUAGGGGCGAAAGACUAAUCGAACCAUCCG
RNAcentral lists this unclassified non-coding RNA (878 nucleotides) under Arachnomyces bostrychodes. RNAcentral describes it as "Arachnomyces sp. ERA-2019b sequence contains 28S rRNA gene". It matches the Rfam family "Eukaryotic large subunit ribosomal RNA", at positions 50 to 946 of the family's 3401-position model. The record is from RNAcentral. Lineage: Eukaryota; Fungi; Ascomycota; Eurotiomycetes; Onygenales; Arachnomycetaceae.